Molecule: ribosomal RNA, 515 nt
Filed under: uncultured bacterium
Lineage: Bacteria
Description: partial 16S ribosomal RNA
Rfam family: Bacterial small subunit ribosomal RNA
Source: RNAcentral
GAUGAACGCUGGCGGCGUGCCUAAUACAUGCAAGUCGAGCGAAUGGAUUAAGAGCUUGCUCUUAUGAAGUUAGCGGCGGACGGGUGAGUAACACGUGGGUAACCUGCCCAUAAGACUGGGAUAACUCCGGGAAACCGGGGCUAAUACCGGAUAACAUUUUGAACCGCAUGGUUCGAAAUUGAAAGGCGGCUUCGGCUGUCACUUAUGGAUGGACCCGCGUCGCAUUAGCUAGUUGGUGAGGUAACGGCUCACCAAGGCAACGAUGCGUAGCCGGCCUGAGAGGGGGAUCGGCCACACUGGGACUGAGACACGGCCCAGACUCCUACGGGAGGCAGCAGUAGGGAAUCUUCCGCAAUGGACGAAAGUCUGACGGAGCAACGCCGCGUGAGUGAUGAAGUCUUUCGGGUCGUAAAACUCUGUUGUUAGGGAAGAACAAGUGCUAGUUGAAUAAGCUGGCACCUUGACGGUACCUAACCAGAAAGCCACGGCUAACUACGUGCCAGCCGCCGCUGUAA